RNAcentral lists this ribosomal RNA (407 nucleotides) under uncultured bacterium. RNAcentral describes it as "partial 16S ribosomal RNA". It matches the Rfam family "Bacterial small subunit ribosomal RNA", at positions 30 to 526 of the family's 1533-position model. The record is from RNAcentral.
AUUGAACGCUAGCGGGAUGCCUUACACAUGCAAGUAGAACGGCUUGGCGACCGGGUGAGUAAUCUAACGGAACGUGCCCAGUAGCGGGGGAUAACUACGCGACAGCGUAGCUAAUACCGCAUACUAUUGGAGCCGCCGAUAUCGGAUGAGCUAGUUGGUGGGGUAACGGAUAACCAAGGCGACGAUCCGUAGCUGGUUUGAGAGGACGACCAGCCAAACUGGGACUGAGACACGGCCCAUACUCGUACGGGAGGCAGCAUUGGGAAAUGUUAGACAAAGGGGGAAACCCUGUUCCAGCCAUCCCGCGUGUCCGAUGAAGGCCUGCGGGUUGUAAAGCACUUUUGGCAGGAGAGCGGUACCUGUAGAAUAAGCACCGGCUAACUCCGUGCCAGCAGCCGCGGUAAUAC